RNAcentral lists this ribosomal RNA (493 nucleotides) under uncultured Azoarcus sp. RNAcentral describes it as "bacterial SSU rRNA". It matches the Rfam family "Bacterial small subunit ribosomal RNA", at positions 67 to 555 of the family's 1533-position model. Lineage: Bacteria; Pseudomonadati; Pseudomonadota; Betaproteobacteria; Rhodocyclales; Zoogloeaceae. The record is from RNAcentral.
CGGCAGCGGGGGCUUCGGCCUGCCGGCGAGUGGCGAACGGGUGAGUAAUGCAUCGGAACGUGCCCAGUCAUGGGGGAUAACUACGCGAAAGCGUAGCUAAUACCGCAUACGCCCUGAGGGGGAAAGUGGGGGAUCUUCGGACCUCACGUGAUUGGAGCGGCCGAUGUCAGAUUAGCUAGUUGGUGAGGUAAAGGCUCACCAAGGCGACGAUCUGUAGCGGGUCUGAGAGGAUGAUCCGCCACACUGGGACUGAGACACGGCCCAGACUCCUACGGGAGGCAGCAGUGGGGAAUUUUGGACAAUGGGCGCAAGCCUGAUCCAGCCAUGCCGCGUGAGUGAAGAAGGCCUUCGGGUUGUAAAGCUCUUUCGCAAGGGAAGAAAACGUGUGGGCUAAUAUCCUGCGCGGAUGACGGUACCUUGACAAGAAGCACCGGCUAACUACGUGCCAGCAGCCGCGGUAAUACGUAGGGUGCGAGCGUUAAUCGGAAUUACU